GUGAUUUAAGAUUGUUUUACGAUGUAUUUAUUCAAAGUUGGUUGGUUACUUUUUACGAACGUAUUACGUAUAGAAGGAAGAGUUUACUGUCAAGACGCUCACGCGUCUCCUUGGAUACCUUUGGGUUAUUCCUGUCCAGUGAUGUGUCAGAAUAUAAUCAACGCUAUUGAGAAGCUUAAAGUCAUAGAUUAUAAAAAAGUUUUAGACGAUGACAGAAAGGAGCGACUUAAAAUGAAUGACAGUUUUAUGAAUUCAAUAAAAAAUGAUGUAGACGCAAGCGAAGAACGUACAGAUAAUGAGAAUAAUAAAGAAAACUCAUCUAAUAAAAAAUGGA
This is a long non-coding RNA of Papilio xuthus (Asian swallowtail), 334 nucleotides long. RefSeq lists it as uncharacterized. The transcript is spliced from 3 exons. NCBI's taxonomy places the organism in Eukaryota, Metazoa, Arthropoda, Insecta, Lepidoptera, Papilionidae. The record is from RefSeq and is a predicted model, not a curated record.